Long non-coding RNA from Helianthus annuus (common sunflower), 2453 nucleotides. RefSeq lists it as uncharacterized. The record is from RefSeq and is a predicted model, not a curated record. Lineage: Eukaryota; Viridiplantae; Streptophyta; Magnoliopsida; Asterales; Asteraceae. The transcript has 4 exons.
GCCCCUUUGCUACGUGUCCUGGGUUAUUUCUUCCCUUUUCCUUUUCACAUUCGCAGAAAUAGAGGGUAAAUCUAGGGUUAAUGAGAGAGGGGUCUGGAGAUAAUCGCCGGCCACCAGAUAAACUACCCAGCGACCAUCUGUUACCGACGAUACGGCGAUGCAGCUGAUUUUCUCGACAUCUUCUUUGGUGUUGUUGUUUAACAGGCAUGUAUUCUUGCUUAUAUAUUCUAUUAUUGCUUUCAUUUUUGUUUGUAUUCGGCGAGGAUGAUGCGCUGUUGUCUCUAUGGAACUACCUGGGGUUUGUGUUGUGGGUGUGAUGUGAGUCUUGGUUUACUCUAUUUUGGAAGUUGAGUGGCCAUUGAUGUCGGUGAGAAGUCGAAAUGGAGAAUGAAAUUGAUACCUUGAGGAGGUGUAAAUGGUUUGGGAUUGUGGGUAUGUUUGUCUUCACCCCUAUUAUUCUGUUUUCUUUGGUGUUUAGCUUUGGAGUUUUGCAAUGUAAACAAAAAUAUUAUGAGUAUUUUGAAAGUGAUGUUCUAAUUUCUGGAGUGUAACCUUUUUAGGCUUUUGGACUUGCAAACCUCCACCUCCAUCACCAUCGUCGUCUCUUCCUAUUCAAUCACACCCAGUAAACGGAUCUUCUUCGGGUAGUAAUACACAAUUACAUAAUCUUGAAUAAUAACCCAUGUUCAUCUUCCAAGAUUAAAGCUUUCAUAUUGUUUUCCUUCGCAAAUCCUUGAUACUCUCUUAGGUUUUAACUUUUAAUUAAUUGUUUUCUAUGCUACUUUGUUGUUUCCAUUUGUUUGUAUGCUAUUUCUUGGAUCACGAUUGAUUUUGCAGCUAAUGUACGAAUUUUAUUCUUUAAUUUAUGGACAUUAUUAUUAUGCACUUUGGCUUCACAGAUCUGUAAUUUUGCAUUAUGCUUCUGUUAAAUUUAGGAUGCAUAUGUAGGUUUAGUUAAAGUUUUAACUUAAGAAUUGACGGGUAUCUUGGUAUACAUGGCAUAGCGGAGAAGGAUUAUUGCUGAAAUAGAAAUCGAUUAAUUUAUUGUUGUACGCCGAUUGUGUUAAUUGAUAUUGCAGGAGUUUAAAGCACCGUUAUGGAUUCCGUUGUUUCUUUUGAUUAUAAACGGGUGGUCUCCGCCGAUUUAUCGAACUUAGCUCACCACCACCGGCCAUCAUAAAAAUGAACUGCGGUGGCUACUUUGGAAAAAAAUAUCAAUUUGUUUUGGGUCUUCAUGGUGGUUGACAUGAGAGAUAGGCGGAGCAGUGACCUAUGGUUUCGAUAAAGGGAUUAAAGCAAUGGCUGAGCAGUUAUCUAGGGUUCUAACCAAGGAGUUCAAGUGAUAUUUUCAGGAAUGGGCCACAAGACGGAAGAAACUCAAUGUAGGAUGGUACUUAUGGUACAACUUGCCCGAUCCCACUGGGCAACAAUUUUACAUACAUGCUUCAAGCGAAGGAUCAGAUUGGUAGCUUCUUCUACUUCCUGUGACUUGGCCUUCAAAAGGCCGCCAGAGGCUAUGGCGGCACGAAAAUCUACAGCCGCCAUCGGAUCCGGUCCUCUUUCCUUUCCCUGCCAGAGAUCAAACUGUUCUUGCUGGUGAUUGGUAAAAAAAGGCCACCUGAGACCAAGACACAUAUAGGGCAUGGGUGAAAGCAUUUCUUCUUCUUAUGGACUUGUCAUCAAUGGGCGUGGCUUGAAUAGUUACACAUUCGAAGUCGAACAAGGUAGUUAGAAUUUUUUUUUUAUAUUGUACGAUGUUUUCAGACUUGGCCACAUACUCGGUCCGGUUGAGUCUAUUUGAACCAGCCGGAAACCGUCCAGAGUGCUUGAACCGGCAAACCACACCGGUGGCCAAACCGAUUUUUUUUGUUUUAAGUAUUUUUUUUAAUGGGGACCUGAUUUGUGUCACUUUUUGUUGGUCAUCAUACUAGCUGUUACCCGUUAAAAUAAUAAAAAAAGGGAAGCUAUUCUAUAAUAGUAUACACAGAUUUGACGAUUGUCAAGAUACAUACAUCAAUAUGAUUAUUGAUCUAUCCAACAUUUGCUUUGCCCUUAUUAAGUUAAAAAUACAAGACUUAUGGUUCAAGUAGGGAAACAAAGCUAUCCAAAUUUCGCUUCUUUAGGUGUUAACAUUCUUCAACUGCUAGCAUCCAAGAUUGCACUAGACUCCCUCAUCACUCCCUAAUCAAAGCCAGUUCGCACCAAAUAUCACUCACACAUGACUAAGAGACUGAUAGAAAGAGACUGAUGAAGGAAAUUAAGUGGCAGGCACCCAACAUAGAUUAGUGAUUCUAAUACCUGAGAAUCAAUUAAUUGUAAGGUAGUUUUACUUGGGAUGCAUAUCUAUUACACGUAGUUUCUUUUUGUGGACCCUUGAAGAACAUGCAAUUUUGUUGGGUUUGUUUGGCAUCCAUGAUGUAUGUUUUUUUUUUCAAGCAGGUUUUGAUGUCUAA